Coffea arabica (coffee) is the source of this 5605-nucleotide RNA transcript. RefSeq lists it as uncharacterized. The record is from RefSeq and is a predicted model, not a curated record. Lineage: Eukaryota; Viridiplantae; Streptophyta; Magnoliopsida; Gentianales; Rubiaceae.
UGGAAGGCAUGCCUGAGGACCUUAAAUCUUGCUACUCACUCAUACUAAGCUUCAUGUGGGACGAAACACUCACAGAGAGGACUAAUCCUUUUUUCAUUGAGCACACUCAAACUAGCCUGGUAGUAAGGUUGUACUUUUUUUCAUUUUCUUCACAACUGCAAUUUCUACCGCUCUUCAGUCUUCUUCUUCUUCCCAACCGCCCUCAAGACCUCAGCCCUGGAUGUCCAUGACUUCCUCCCAAGCUACAACCUCCCAAAGGGUCUCAUCCCAGAAAAUGUCGAGCCCUAUUCUCUUGAUUUGGAAGACAACACCGUCACUAUUGAACUCAUUUACCAUUGCUGUGUUCAGUUCACUAACUUGGUUUACUAUGACAGAAUUAUAACUGGAAGAUUGGGUAAAAGGGCAGGUUUCUACUGUUCUUGGAAUUUAGGUGAAGAAGCACUUCCCGUCGCUUCCUAUUACUGCCAUCCAAGUUGAUGAAAGCUCAAAAGGGAUUGAAUUUAAAGUGGGGAUUUUUGUCUGAGAAGUUGCCUGUUUCUAUGUUCCGAGAGAUUCCAUCUUGUAGGGAUAAAAGACUUCCAGCAGUCUCUGCUCGCAUCAAUUUUAGAUGAUUUGAGCACAAUCAGGUCAACAGAAGAAAGGUGCUUACCUAUUUUACCAUUUGUAUUCACAGAGCAGCAACCAUGAGUAGUUCACCAUGUGUCCUCCCAAAUUAUAUAUGGAUGAACAUCGCUGUUGAAAAGUUUGCAUCCUUGCCUAUUAACUUCCCUUUCUUGGAUGAAAAAUGCUCUUGGGUUCCAUGACAAGGUGCACAAGAUGGAACCUUAUAAGAUAUGAUCAAUAAGCUUCAGUACAUCAUUUAUCUCAUGUAAUGGACAACCAGAUGGAAGUACUCUACUUGAACAACAAAAUUGGACAACACUGACUCCGGUAUUUAUGCACCAUCAAGUGUUGAAUAUUCUACAGGGAGCAGCUUCUUGAGAUUUUCCUGGGACCGUGACUUCAACCACGCGCUUCGCCACCUCCACUGCCAUCUCCACCGCGCCCCUGCCUGCUCCCAAACUCCGGUUAUCUCUUUCCCUCAUUUUAUCUUUCUUUUAGCUGAGGACAGACAUUUAAUUUUUAGCUGAGGACAGAUAAUUGGUGCCUAUUUGGGAUACUGUGAAUUCGUAUUUUGCUACUCCUGACUGUCUACUUAAUUUUAUAUCAAAAUCGUUUGUGUUUGGAGAGUUUUGCUGUGUUGGUCUGUUUAAUUCAUAUUUGUGUGUUUGCUGUGUGUAGGUAGUCAUCGUUAAUUGUUUUGUUUGUCUGGUUGUCUGUUUCGUUAGUUGUCUGUAUUUGAAGUUGUGAUCGGGGACCCCUUAUUUAAUUGAGGUGCUGGUUGACUUAUUUUGAGUGUUUGUACCUUGUUCUUGUCCUGUUUACUGGUGUCAAUGGCUAAAACAAACAAUCCACUUCGUCCCCACAACCCACUAUCCCUUUGAGUGGAUCUUCCCAAGCAACUGCUUCGGGCGGUCCCCGGACCCGCCUUGGGAGGAACAGGGAGGUUCACCUCUCUUCUCCGCCCCACUUUGGCGGACAUUUGACCUUCACCAGGGCAGCCGAUAAGGAACGGUAUGCCGCUGCGUGUACAAGGAAAAUUAUUCCUUGUAAAUUCAUCCAUGGCCCCACACUCGACCUUUUAAACAUUAGGGAUGAGGUCCUUAGGAGGAUAACCGCCAUUGGUUGGACAAAUUAUGCUUCCAUUGUUUUACCUGCUUUCACUGAGUUAACAUGAAAAUUCUAUACCACUUUCGAGUUCAAUGUACCUGAUGAAUUCUCUGCUACGAUUCUUGAGGUGAUUCGGUUUAGAUUGAUAGGUAGGGAAUUCAAACAGUCCAUCACUGAAUUCAAUUUAGCUCUUGAUUUCAUUGACAUCCCCUAUUCCCAAACUGAUGAAUAUAUGACGAGUGCCUGCGAGUACACUGAGCCCUUUUUUUCCCAUAACACUGGCUACUGGAAAGAAUUGUCGAUUGACACUCAAUCUUAGCCUAUUUCCUUAAGAACUCCGUUUUUCGUUAUUUACACCGUUUUAUGGGUUAUAACUUCUCAGGUAGGAAAGACAGUUCGGGUAGUUUUUUUCUAUUAGGUAGGGAAGCCACUGUUUUUUUUCUCCAGAAUGGCCGGGCUAUAAGGCCCCGGUUAAAGACUUGUUUACUAGAUAUCCUAGUAUGCUUUGUUUAAUCAGAUAUACCAAGAGAAUAGUUUAUGUUUUUCUUUUUAAUCUUUAAUCUUAUUUUUCUAUCAGAGUCUAGAAUUUCCUUAGUUCUUAAUUCUGAAUAUCUAUGGUAUAUUAAGUCUAUCUUAGCUUGUCUAAUAUUUCUAAGGAAUGAUGUGGGAUGGUGGUGUGCUACUUUUGAUAAUCUAGAUUUUUCUAUGUCUAUGUAUGCCAAACACUGAUCUGGUGUUUCUAAAUCUUCUAAAAUUUUAUCAAAAUAAUAAUAUGUAUCUGGUUGUCUAAGGGUUGCUAAUGCUAGUCUAUAUGCGUUUUCUGGAGUGGUUGUGAAUUGAAAUGGUGGUUCAAAAUUCAUGUAGAUGUAUGCAAAUGUCAGCCUCCCAAAUAUGCAAUCAAUUAUAUCAGAACUAUAUUUUUAUGAGUAUUUGGUACUUGAGAGAGGUUAAAGGAAUUAUACCUUCCUUGCUUUUAAUCCAAAGUUUCCUUCUGAUGCUAUAAGAGUUAGAAUCUUGUUCUUGGAGGUUUGCCGCACCAGAUUUUCCCCUAACGCCUUGACGCCCUUUUGGCUGAACGGCUUAAAUGGAUACUACACUGUUUUUUGGACUUUUAAGACUCAAAAACAGGGUAUCUCUCUCAAAAUUUUCGGUUAUUUGAAUUAAAUUUAGGGUUGGUUGCACUAAUUUCUACUCUCUGUUUCCCUUUCCUCUUUAUGCUAAGAAUUGAUAAGUAUGAAAAAUUUGAAGUAUGAAAGAUUUUUUUUUUUUGGAUGCUCUGUUACUUACUAGAUAUGAUCGCAUCGUACUCAACAUUGGUUUGAGACUGAUGCUUAUAUAGACCUGUAGUGCGGAUUUCAAAUCCGGACUUAUACUUUGUUGAAAAUAUGUGAUUAUAGAAAGAUUUGCUAUUGUAAAUAUUAGGAAAGAUUAGAUUUGAUUUGUUUUGAUUAUAGUAUCAGAUAUUAAUUAGGUAAUAAAUUGAUUUAGGCUAGCAUGAUUUUAGUAUCUAAAUUAGGUUACACUUGUGUAUAUAUAUAUUUGUACAUUGUGUAGUCCAAAGAUAUGAAAAAGAGUAUUUUCUCUCCCUUUUUCUUAGUUUUCAUGGUAUCAGAGUUUUAGACUCUGUUAUUAGUUUGUUUUUUGACGUGACCCUAUUGAGUCACUUUUAGUUUUUUCUUGUGUGAAUUAUAAUGACAGAUAUGAAAGGUAGUAGUAGAGAGAUGAGAACAGUAAUUUCUGAUGUUAUUCCUACAACAUCAAAGAUUACUGAACACAAACUGGGUGGAAAAUUUUUUUGGAUUGGAGUAAAACUAUUUGGAUAUAUCUGCGCAGCAUUGAUAGAGAUGAUCAUCUCACUGAUGACCCACCCGUUGAUGGGGAAGAAAAGAAGGUUUGGCUAAGGGAAGAUGCAAAAUUAUUUUUGCAGAUCCGAAAUUCUAUUGAUAAUGAGAUAGUCAGUCUCAUCAAUCAUUGUGAGUUUGUUAAAGAUCUUAUGGAUUAUUUGGCAUUUUUGUAUUCUGGUAAGGGUAAUUUAAAUCAUAUAUAUGAUAUUUGCAAGGAAUUUUACCGUCCAGAAAAACAGCAGAGAUCCCUUACAGAAUAUUUUAUGGAUUUUAAACGUGUGUAUGAGGAAUUGAAUUCUCUCCUUCCUUUUAGGACUGAUGUAAAAACUCAACAGUCUCAACGGGAACAAAUGGCUGUAAUGAGUUUUCUUGCAGGAUUACCAGUUGAGUUUGAUGCUGCUCGAACACAAAUUCUCUCUAGCUCAGAGAUUGUUUCCUUCCAUGACACUUUCACACGAGUGUUGAGAAUCGAGGGAUCUUUGUCUACUUCCAAUGUUACUGGUGCUCUCGUGAGUCGAAGUGGAGUUGGUCGAGGAAAUAAUGGUAGAAACAGUGGCAAAAAUGGGACUGGUGGGGUUGUUGGUCAUGGACAAUACAACUCAAAUCAACGAGUUUGUUAUCACUGUAAGAAACCAUGCCAUACCAUACGUACGUGUUGGGACCUUCAUGGUAGACCUCAACAGCAACCCCCGUUUGCAAAUUUCGCAACCCAGGAAAACAAUUAUGUGCCUUCUGAUAAAUUCAUACUCAUCUCUGCUGAUGAGUUUGCCCGCUUUACCGAGUUCCAGGUCUCACAAAAAUCUGCUAACCCAUCUUCUAGUACCAAUCCUCCUUCUAUUGAUUACUCAGGUAAACCUACUACAUGCCUUGUGUCAUCUUCUAACAAAUGGGUCAUCGAUUCCGGUACAACAGAUCAUAUGACCGAUAAUAAAGGUAUCCUCUCCUCUUUUAAUCCUAACAAAGGCCAUCCGAAUGUUACUUUGGCUGAUGGGUCAUGUGCUUCAGUUGUGGGUUCUGGUGUAGCAAUUCCUAUGUCAUCUAUCUCCUUAUAUUCAGUCUUAUGCUUACCUAAUUUUUCUUUUAAUCUACUCUCAGUCAGUAAAAUUACAAAAGCUCUCAAGUGCUCUGUCUCAUUCUUUUCUGAAUAUUGUGUUUUUCAGGAUCUUAUGACGGGGAAGAUUAUUGGUAAAGGACGUGAGUCUGGCGGCCUGUAUACACUUGAAACCCAUUCAUCGAAAGUGCAGAAACCUGUUGCAUGUUCCUCUACCUUGACUCCUCUUGAAAUUCACUGUCGUUUGGGUCAUCCAUUUUACCCACAUUGAAGAAGUUGUGUCCAAGUUUUCAGAAUUUAUCCCAUUUAAAUUAUUCGAGUCCUGAUCCAUCGCUUCCUCAGUCUCUAGAUUCCAGUCUUGAUUUGCCUAUUGCUUUAAGGAAAGAUUCAACAUCUCUUCCUCAACGCUUAUCUAAGGCUUUGGAACAUCCUGAUUGGCGGGCUGCUAUGGAGGAAGAAAUGAUGGCUCUAGAUAAUAAUGGUACCUGAGACUUGGUUCAUCUACCAACAGGUAAGAAACCUAUUGGUUGUAAAUGGGUGUUUGCUGUUAAAGUCAAUCAUGAUGGCUCUGUUGCUCGCCUCAAAGCUCGUCUUGCUGCAAAAGGGUAUGCUCAGACAUAUGGGGUGGAUUACUCAGACACGUUUUCUCCAGUAGCAAAACUUACCUCUGCUCGAUUAUUUAUUUCCCUUGCUGCUACUAAUAAUUGGCCCUUGUACUAGUUAGAUGUUAAGAAUGCAUUCCUUUAUGGGGAUUUGCAAGAGGAAGUUUAUAUGGAACAACCACUUGAAUUUGUUGCUCAGGGGGAGUUUGGUAAGGUUUGUAGACUCCGGAAGUCAUUAUAUGGUUUAAAACAGAGUCCUCGUGCUUGGUUUGGGAGAUUCAGUGAGGUGGUUGAAGAGUUUGGCAUGAAGAAGUGUAAUACUGAUCAUUCUGUCUUUUAUCAACAAUCUGAAGUUGGUAUUAUCCUAUUAGUGGUUUAUGUUGAUGAUAUUGUUAUUA